This 458-nucleotide ribosomal RNA is filed under the name uncultured bacterium. Its description in RNAcentral is "partial 16S ribosomal RNA". It matches the Rfam family "Bacterial small subunit ribosomal RNA", at positions 338 to 795 of the family's 1533-position model. The record is from RNAcentral.
CCUACGGGGGACAGCAGUGAGGAAUAUUGGUCAAUGGACGAGAGUCUGAACCAGCCAAGUAGCGUGAAGGAUGACUGCCCUAUGGGUUGUAAACUUCUUUUAUAUGGGAAUAAAAUGUUCCACGUGUGGGCUUUUGUAUGUACCAUAUGAAUAAGGAUCGGCUAACUCCGUGCCAGCAGCCGCGGUAAUACGGGGGAUCCGAGCGUUAUCCGGAUUUAGGGGGUUUAAAGGGAGCGUAGGUGGAUUGUUGAGUCAGUUGUGAAAGUUUGCCUCAACCGUGAAAUUGCAGUUGAAACUGGCAGGCUGGAGUGCAGUAGAGGGGGGCGGAAUUCGUGGUGUAGCGGUGAAAUGCGUAGAUAUCACGAAGAACACCGGUUGCGAAGGCGGUUCACUGGACUGCAACUGACGCUGAGGCUCGAAAGUGUGGGUAUCAAACAGGAUUAGAUACCCUUGUAGUC